GGAGGCGAAUCACAUAAAAGACCAUCUCAGUUCGGAUUGUAGUCUGCAACUCGACUACAUGAAGCUGGAAUCGCUAGUAAUCGCGAAUCAGCAUGUCGCGGUGAAUACGUUCCCGGGUCUUGUACACACCGCCCGUCACACCAUGGGAGUUGGAUAUGCCCGAAGUCAGUGACCCAACCGAGAGGAGGGAGCUGCCGAAGGUGGAGCCGAUGACUGGGGUGAAGUCGUAACAAGGUACC
This 239-nucleotide ribosomal RNA is filed under the name uncultured bacterium. RNAcentral describes it as "partial 16S ribosomal RNA". It matches the Rfam family "Bacterial small subunit ribosomal RNA", at positions 1263 to 1500 of the family's 1533-position model. The record is from RNAcentral.